RNAcentral lists this ribosomal RNA (531 nucleotides) under soil fungal sp. DM2-302. Its description in RNAcentral is "eukaryotic LSU rRNA". It matches the Rfam family "Eukaryotic large subunit ribosomal RNA", at positions 102 to 657 of the family's 3401-position model. The record is from RNAcentral. Lineage: Eukaryota; Fungi.
CAACAGCUCAAUUUGAAAUCUGGCCCCUAGGGUCCGAGUUGUAAUUUGUAGAGGAUGCUUUUGGUGAGGUGCCGCCCGAGUUCCCUGGAACGGGACGCCACAGAGGGUGAGAGCCCCGUCUGGCUGGCCACCGAGCCUCUGUAAAGCUCCUUCGACGAGUCGAGUAGUUUGGGAAUGCUGCUCAAAAUGGGAGGUAUAUGUCUUCUAAAGCUAAAUAUUGGCCAGAGACCGAUAGCGCACAAGUAGAGUGAUCGAAAGAUGAAAAGCACCUUGAAAAGAGGGUUAAACAGUACGUGAAAUUGUUGAAAGGGAAGCGCUUGUGACCAGACUUGGGCGCGGCGAAUCAUCCGGGGUUCUCUCCGGUGCACUUCGCCGUGUUCAGGCCAGCAUCAGUUCGGCGCGGGGGAAAAAGGCUUCGGGAACGUGGCUGCUCCGGCAGUGUUAUAGCCCGUUGCAUAAUACCCUGCGCUGGACUGAGGACCGCGCAUCUGCAAGGAUGCUGGCGUAAUGGUCACCAGCGACCCGUCUUGA